This 253-nucleotide ribosomal RNA is filed under the name uncultured bacterium. RNAcentral describes it as "partial 16S ribosomal RNA". It matches the Rfam family "Bacterial small subunit ribosomal RNA", at positions 524 to 776 of the family's 1533-position model. The record is from RNAcentral.
UACGAGGGGGGCAAAUGUUGUUCGGAAUCACUGGGCGUAAAGGGAGCGUAGGCGGGUUUUUAAGUCAGGUGUUUAAUCCCGGGGCCCAAUCCCGGACAGGCACUUGAAACUGGGAAUCUUGAAUAGUGGAGAGGUCAGUGGAAUUGGGGGUGUAGCGGUGGAAUGCGUAGAGAUCCCCAAGAACACCCGUUGCGAAGGCGGCUGACUGGACACAUAUUGACGCUGAGGCUCGAAAGCAUGGGGAGCAAACAGG